AACGAACGCUGGCGGCAGGCCUAACACAUGCAAGUCGAGCGAGGACUUCGGUUCUAGCGGCGGACGGGUGAGUAACGCGUGGGAAUGUGCCCUUCUCUACGGAAUAGCCCUGGGAAACUGGGAGUAAUACCGUAUACGCCCUAUUGGGGAAAGAUUUAUCGGAGAAGGAUCAGCCCGCGUUGGAUUAGGUAGUUGGUGGGGUAAUGGCCUACCAAGCCGACGAUCCAUAGCUGGUUUGAGAGGAUGAUCAGCCACACUGGGACUGAGACACGGCCCAGACCCCUACGGGAGGCAGGAGGGGGGAAGCUAAGACAAGGGGGGAAACCCUGAUCUAGCCAUGCCGGGGGGGUGAUGAAGGCCUUAGGGUUGAAAAGCUCUUUCAGCGGGGAAGAUAAUGACGGUACCAGAAAAAAAAGCCCCGCCUACCUCCGG
RNAcentral lists this ribosomal RNA (432 nucleotides) under uncultured bacterium. RNAcentral's name for it is "partial 16S ribosomal RNA". It matches the Rfam family "Bacterial small subunit ribosomal RNA", at positions 29 to 506 of the family's 1533-position model. The record is from RNAcentral.